Molecule: ribosomal RNA, 658 nt
Filed under: Xenorthrius cf. hoerrmanni G0011
Lineage: Eukaryota; Metazoa; Arthropoda; Insecta; Coleoptera; Cleridae
Description: partial 28S large subunit ribosomal RNA
Rfam family: Eukaryotic large subunit ribosomal RNA
Source: RNAcentral
GAAACACGGACCAAGGAGUCUAGCAUGUGCGCGAGUCAUUGGGAAUAACUAAACCUAAAGGCGCAAUGAAAGUGAAGGUCCGCCUGGCGCGGACCGAGGGAAGAUGGGCGGUCACGUUCACGUGCCGCUCCGCACUCCCGGGGCGUCUCGUUCUCAUUGCGAGAAGAGGCGCACCAAGAGCGUACACGCUGGGACCCGAAAGAUGGUGAACUAUGCCUGGUCAGGACGAAGUCAGGGGAAACCCUGAUGGAGGUCCGUAGCGAUUCUGACGUGCAAAUCGAUCGUCGGAACUGGGUAUAGGGGCGAAAGACUAAUCGAACCAUCUAGUAGCUGGUUCCCUCCGAAGUUUCCCUCAGGAUAGCUGGCGCUCGUCGCCUACGAGUCUCAUCCGGUAAAGCGAAUGAUUAGAGGCAUUGGGGUCGAAACGGCCUCAACCUAUUCUCAAACUUUAAAUGGGUGAGAUCUCCGGCUUGCUCGAACUCAUGAAGCCGCGAGAGACGGAUCAGAGUGCCAAGUGGGCCAUUUUUGGUAAGCAGAACUGGCGCUGUGGGAUGAACCAAACGCCGAGUUAAAGCGCCUAAAUCGACGCUUAUGGGAUACCAUGAAAGGCGUUGGUAACUUAAGACAGCAGGACGGUGGCCAUGGAAGUCGGAAUCCG